AGUGAACGCUGGCGGCAGGCCUAACACAUGCAAGUCGAACGGCAGCACAGUAAGAGCUUGCUCUUACGGGUGGCGAGUGGCGGACGGGUGAGGAAUACAUCGGAAUCUACUUUUUCGUGGGGGAUAACGUAGGGAAACUUACGCUAAUACCGCAUACUACCUACGGGUGAAAGCAGGAGAUCUUCGGACCUUGCGCGAUUGUAUGAGCCGAUGUCGGAUUAGCUAGUUGGCGGGGUAAAGGCCCACCAAGGCGACGAUCCGUAGCUGGUCUGAGAGGAUGAUCAGCCACACUGGAACUGAGACACGGUCCAGACUCCUACGGGAGGCAGCAGUGGGGAAUAUUGGACAAUGGGCGCAAGCCUGAUCCAGCCAUACCGCGUGGGUGAAGAAGGCCUUCGGGUUGUAAAGCCCUUUUGUUGGGAAAGAAAAGCAGCAGGUUAAUACCCCGCUGUUCUGACGGUACCCAAAGAAUAAGCACCGGCUAACUUCGUG
Molecule: ribosomal RNA, 492 nt
Filed under: uncultured bacterium
Lineage: Bacteria
Description: partial 16S ribosomal RNA
Rfam family: Bacterial small subunit ribosomal RNA
Source: RNAcentral